This is a small nuclear RNA of Ceratitis capitata (Mediterranean fruit fly), 108 nucleotides long. The record is from RefSeq and is a predicted model, not a curated record. Lineage: Eukaryota; Metazoa; Arthropoda; Insecta; Diptera; Tephritidae.
GUUCUUGCUUCGGCAGAACAUAUACUAAAAAUUGGAACGAUACAGAGAAGAUUAGCACAGCCCCUGCGCAAGGAUGACACGAAAAAUCGUGAAGCGUUCCACAUUUUU